UACGAAGGGGGCUAGCGUUGUUCGGAUUUACUGGGCGUAAAGCGCACGUAGGCGGAUUCUUAAGUCAGGGGUGAAAUCCCGAGGCUCAACCUCGGAACUGCCUUUGAUACUGGGGAUCUUGAGUUCGGGAGAGGUGAGUGGAAUUGCGAGUGUAGAGGUGAAAUUCGUAGAUAUUCGCAAGAACACCAGUGGCGAAGGCGGCUCACUGGCCCGAUACUGACGCUGAGGAGCGAAAGCAUGGGUAGCGAACAGG
RNAcentral lists this ribosomal RNA (253 nucleotides) under uncultured bacterium. RNAcentral describes it as "partial 16S ribosomal RNA". It matches the Rfam family "Bacterial small subunit ribosomal RNA", at positions 524 to 776 of the family's 1533-position model. The record is from RNAcentral.